UUGCGUCACAAUGCGGAAUUUUACUCAAUGAAUUAAAAUUCUACUACACUAUUCAUUUUAAUGCAAACUGCAAACUCUUAUUUAACUAACCCAGUUAACUGUUCCAAUAAAAUACUUAUACAUGUUACAGUGUUCGCAUUUCAAUCUUGGCUGUAUAAGUAAUAACAUGAUCCAAGUAUGAUUAAGCAGUUUAUUAUGUUUGUAAAGAACCCAUCCCAGAUAUAAUGGAACACACGGCGUACCCCACAGUCUUCAUAAGAUGGUUGUUAAGUGCAGCGUUGUGUAUCGCAUUAUAACGCUCUUGUCAAAUCUUCGUUGAGUUUGUAAACAAUUAAGUACUGGUUGAGUUAAUACAAAAAAAAGGAAAUGAACAAGCUUUUUAUUAGAAAAGAGUCUUCAUAUUGGAUGUGAUUUCUCAGCAACAUUUAAACAGUGAUCAUGAAUAUAACGAGCCUGAACUGAUUUCAUUUGUUUACAAGGCACACAGACUAAUUAUCACUGUUUCUUGCAUGAAAGUCUUUGCUUUGACGAAAAAAUUUAAUAUUCUAAGAAAAGCUAUCAAUCAAAAUCCAAAUAAAAAUUUUUUUAGAAAGCAGGGAAGUGUUUUCGAAGUCAACAACUUGUAUGAUAAUAUAAGAAUGCAAUAAAAAUACAGCGCAAUUUACCCUGAACGAAUUUUAUAGCUUGUUUGGGGUAAAUCACAAUCACAGGAAUGCUUUUUUAUUUGGACAUCCUCGUAAACAAGUUUCGUGUAAAAAGCAUCUUUGUAAUUCAAAUAGUAAAGUUAGCAUGUGAUUGGACUUUAUUUACAAAAUUCAUUUCACACGAUGAAUAGAGGUUUCUUCAUUCACAUGCUGUCUGGCAUCACGAUCUAUAGGUGUUAAGCAAACACAUUUAAAGUGAUACUUUUUUAUAUAAUAGAAUAUGCCACCAUAAGUUAGUUCGCAAAUUUUUAGCUUU
Molecule: long non-coding RNA, 960 nt
Filed under: Schizosaccharomyces pombe (fission yeast)
Lineage: Eukaryota; Fungi; Ascomycota; Schizosaccharomycetes; Schizosaccharomycetales; Schizosaccharomycetaceae
Source: RNAcentral